RNAcentral lists this small RNA (282 nucleotides) under Caenorhabditis elegans. Its description in RNAcentral is "Unclassified non-coding RNA Y119D3B.31". Lineage: Eukaryota; Metazoa; Nematoda; Chromadorea; Rhabditida; Rhabditidae. The record is from RNAcentral.
GCUCCACCAAAAGGCUCCACAAUCACAUACCGCCCAAAACCAACGUUCAACCCAUUGGCAAUCGCCACGUCAGCGGCUACAAUUGCCGCACAACAACAACAGGCACAGGCUCAACAGCAACUCGCCGCGGCAGCACUUAUGGGUGGCGGACAGGUACAGUAACCAGGAUGGAAAAUUGGAAAAAAGACUGAAAAAAAAAGUUUCAGGGAGUCCAGGUACAGCAGCAACUGGUCACUAACGCACUGCUCCAACAACAUCAAUUUGCAGCCGUUCAACAAGAGG